CUCCGAGUGAAGAAAAUGGACCUUAAUAUAUAAUGUGUCAAAAAAAUAUAUAAUCUGUCAAAUUUCGAGCUAGUUUUCCAGGGGCGAACUCACUUUUAUUGGUGAUGACAAGGCGAUGCAAUCAUUGACUGACAAUGUUUCAGCUAAUCUUGAUGAUUUAAAAAAAAUUUCAGUCUGUUUUUAGUUGAGGAAAAAAAAACAGUUUAACAGGGCUAUUCUGGAGUUGUGAUGCUCACAAGUCACAAUUUUUUGUGAGUUUAUUUUUGUGAGGUUUUUUAUGAGGUUGUCACAAUUUGGUAUUCUGCGAAAAACCUCAUAAGAAACCUCACAGCAAAUUCACCACAAACGAGGUGAGUUUUUAUUUUGACAGCCAGCUGAUUUGUCAGAUAAAAAAACAAAACACUUUGAAUAUAAAUAAAAAUCUACUAUUUGUUCAUAUAUUUUCGAUAUAUACAUUCUUCCAAGGAAUUAUAAUCAAUUAUUUAGCAAUUCCAACACCAGAGACCAGAAAAAUAUCUUGGACACAGGAGUUUUAGAAAUCGAUGUACCUACUCAUGGACCAGAUAUGAAUAACAAAAACGCUAGCUUCUUUCUUGUUAUAGCGAAUGAGACCAAAUUGGUGCAGGGAAAUCCAAAACCAAAUGGAGGAGAACGCUGGCACUGUGAAUGAGUUACUCCUGGUUUGCUUGUACACUUCAUGGUUCAUGCAAAACUAAUUCAUCCUCAAUAAAGAUAUGAGAUGCUUCUCACAGUGCAUUGGCCAUUGCAAUACCCCUUUUAAACAUUUCCCGAAAGGCCAUUGGCACGACAUGUAUUCAAUAUGCUCUAUUCGCUGGACACAACAAGCAAGCAGCUUGACUUGGCAACCAAAUGUCUGCAGAGAUACAUGGAAGGCAACACCAAUCAUUACAACGUAGACGAAAUGCUAGAGUUGUAGACCUUCAACAGAGUUUUGGUCCUCCAGAGUGUCGCUCCUAAUAUCAUUGCCAACGAAGACGCCAAAAAAAACAGAACUAUUACCGCAAAUUUACGGUCAUGUGCAAGUCAUUUUUGCUGUUGAUGGACUCCAAUGUAGAAACUCCACAAAAAUCUGUGAAGGUUCUUGGAUUGGUUCUGCUGUGUGUCUACUUCAUUUUUGUUUACUUGUAGAAAAAGGAGCCAAGUGAAACACAAUUUUUAAUUUAUUUAAUUAAUUACUUUAUAAAUAUUGAUUUUUGUUUCGUA
Episyrphus balteatus (marmalade hoverfly) is the source of this 1224-nucleotide long non-coding RNA. RefSeq lists it as uncharacterized. The record is from RefSeq and is a predicted model, not a curated record. Lineage: Eukaryota; Metazoa; Arthropoda; Insecta; Diptera; Syrphidae. The transcript has 2 exons.